GAUUAAACUUCAAUGUAUAAAAUACCGAAAGCAAACAAGACUACAAAAGUCUGACUGCCUAAAUUAAUACUAUUACGUCUGAUCACUUUAAAAUUUUUAUAGUUUUUUCACGUUAAAAUGUAAUCACUAAUCACAGUGUCUACUGGACGUUUACACCGUUUAAAAAUAUUUUUUCUUUCUCUCGUUUGGACAAAUUGGUUAGAAUCUGAAGCUGUAUCAGAAUAAUGUAAGGCUACGCAGCUGUCCCCUUGGCAGCGGCGGUCCUCCGGAACAGAGCAGCGUAUCCUGCAUGGAUAUGAGCCCAAUCGCUGCUGUCCGCUCCGGAACUUAACGUCCUUCUCUGCAGUCAGGGGUAAAUACCAGCAGGUGGCGCUGUCCCCCCAGCUUCUGCAGGCGUCACAAGCUUCUCUUCAAACGAGUGAAAGAAGUUCCUACUUGAGUUCGCCGCUUCUGAGAUUAGUAAGUUAGUUAUUUUUAGUUUUCUGCAUCUUUGAGGAGUGUAGCUGAAAUUUCCUGUGUUUGAAACUCGCCGUUUGAGGAGCCCAGAAGUGUUUUGGAGGUCACGGGGACCGGCGAGGCUGAUGAGGAACCGAUCCUGUCUGGGGCUGCAUCCCUCCUCUGCUGCUCAAAGCCAACGUGACACUGGCUUCACUGCCAGCGCCCCCACAUCGGCUGCCCUCCCCUCAGAAGAUGGCGCUCAAGGAGGCCUCAGGUACACAGACACGCAGGGUGGCAGGGGGUCCGGAGCCGACUCUGAAGGCUACAGCUGCAAGCCAGCGAUCGACAAAGGAUGGGCGCCGACCCAUCGCAGGACAAACACACACACACACUUGUCACUCACACACCAGUCGCACACACACCAUUCACAUACAUAGUCACUCCUGUGGGCAAUUUAGCUAGUCCAAUUAGCCUCAGCAUGUUUUUGGACGGUGG
Molecule: long non-coding RNA, 933 nt
Organism: Brienomyrus brachyistius
Lineage: Eukaryota; Metazoa; Chordata; Actinopteri; Osteoglossiformes; Mormyridae
Exons: 3
Source: RefSeq, a predicted model, not a curated record